UUUAAUUGAUAAAGGUUUUUUUUAUUUAAGAAAAUCUGAGCAUCACUCAAAAUAACUGUCAACAUGUUUGUCAACUAAACAUGUUUUGUAAACGUUAUACAUUUUAUAAAAAUAUUUAAUAUUUUUAUUAUUGAUAAAGUAUAAAGAACAAAUCAGUGUGAAAACGCAGAUUAUAAAAAGUACAUAAAGUGCCAGCAGAGGAUCCAAAAUAAUGAAAAAAAAAAAAACAUCCAAUGCAACUUGGAAAUUGUAGUCAAAAUACAUCUACAGCAGCAUGCUAAAGCAGUACCAACGCCAGGGCAAAAGACUCAAAUUCCCAGAAUGCACCUGCACCCACCCAUUCAUUCCCACCAAUCAGGAUCAACGGCAUUUUUCAAACCGCUACUGACUCGUUUUCAUGCUAAACAGUACGGCUGAGAGGUCAUGUACCAUGUGGUCGACCUUGCUGACGCUGAAGAGGUUUCUGUGUAAAAAUGAUGACAUUGAGACAAACAGACCAGUUCUGGCUGCCGUGGAGGUCAACACACCACUGAUCUACUGGCUGCCCUUCAACGUGAUGCCCAGCCGAUGCCUGACCACCGACGGAACUAGGGCUGCACGAUAAGUCGCAUGUGUUUGUCAGGCGCAUCUCCUCAGUAAUGCCGGUUCCUUGAUUAGUAUUAAAUCGCCAUCAGCU
Paramisgurnus dabryanus is the source of this 676-nucleotide non-coding RNA. The record is from RefSeq and is a predicted model, not a curated record. Lineage: Eukaryota; Metazoa; Chordata; Actinopteri; Cypriniformes; Cobitidae.